This 301-nucleotide ribosomal RNA is filed under the name uncultured bacterium. Its description in RNAcentral is "partial 16S ribosomal RNA". It matches the Rfam family "Bacterial small subunit ribosomal RNA", at positions 509 to 807 of the family's 1533-position model. The record is from RNAcentral.
CAGUCGCCGCGGUAAUACAGAGGAUGCAAGCGUUAUCCGGAAUGAUUGGGCGUAAAGCGUCUGUAGGUGGCUUCUCAAGUCCGCCGUCAAAUCCCAGGGCUCAACCCUGGACAGGCGGUGGAAACUACCAAGCUAGAGUACGGUAGGGGCAGAGGGAAUUUCCGGUGGAGCGGUGAAAUGCGUUGAGAUCGAAAAGAACACCAACGACGAAAGCACUCUGUUGGGUCGACACUGACACUGAGAGACGAAAGCUAGGGGAGCAAAUGGGAUUAGAUACCCGCGUAGUCCCUGUCUCUUAUAC